AGCAGCAGCCACGGUAAUACGGAGGGUGCAAGCGUUAAUCGGAAUUACUGGGCGUAAAGCGCACGCAGGCGGUCUGUUAAGUCAGAUGUGAAAUCCCCGGGCUCAACCCGGGAACUGCAUUUGAAACUGGCAGGCUGGAGUCUCGUAGAGGGGGGUAGAAUUCCAGGUGUAGCGGUGAAAUGCGUAGAGAUCUGGAGGAAUACCGGUGGCGAAGGCGGCCCCCUGGACAAAGACUGACGCUCAGGUGCGAAAGCGUGGGGAGCAAACAGGAUUAGAUACCCGCGUAGUCCCUGUCUCUUAUAC
Molecule: ribosomal RNA, 303 nt
Filed under: uncultured bacterium
Lineage: Bacteria
Description: partial 16S ribosomal RNA
Rfam family: Bacterial small subunit ribosomal RNA
Source: RNAcentral